RNAcentral lists this ribosomal RNA (443 nucleotides) under uncultured bacterium. Its description in RNAcentral is "partial 16S ribosomal RNA". It matches the Rfam family "Bacterial small subunit ribosomal RNA", at positions 338 to 795 of the family's 1533-position model. The record is from RNAcentral.
CCUACGGGAGGCAGCAGUGGGGAAUAUUGGACAAUGGGGGCAACCCUGAUCCAGCGACGCCGCGUGAGUGAAGAAGUAUUUCGGUAUGUAAAGCUCUGUCCGCAGGGAAGAAGAAAAUGACGGUACCUUAGGAAUAAGCCGCGGCUAACUACGUGCCAGCAGCCGCGGUAAUACGUAGGAGGCAAGCGUUAUCCGGAAUUACUGGGAGUAAAGGGAGCGUAGGCGGUUGAGCAAGUGUGUAGUGAAACGCCGGGGCUCAACCUCGGUACUGCUGUGGAAGCUGUUGAACUGGAGUGCAGGAGAGGUAAGCGGAAUUCCUAGUGUAGCGGUGAAAUGCGUAGAUAUUAGGAGGAACACCAGUGGCGAAGGCGGCUUACUGGACUGUAACUGACGUUGAGGCUCGAAAGCGUGGGGAGCAAACAGGAUUAGAUACCCUUGUAGUC